GGGGAAUAUUGGACAAUGGGCGAAAGCCUGAUCCAGCCAUGCCGCGUGUGUGAAGAAGGUCUUCGGAUUGUAAAGCAGUUUAAGUUGGGAGGAAGGGCUGCAAGUUAAUACCUUGUAGUUUUGACGUUACCAACAGAAUAAACACCGGCUAACUUCGUGCCAGCAGCCGCGGUAAUACGAAGGGUGCAAGCGUUAAUCGGAAUUACUGGGCGUAAAGCGCGCGUAGGUGGUUUGGUAAGAUGGAUGUGAAAUCCCCGGGCUCAACCGGGAAAUGGCAUCCUAAAUGCACUGACUGGAGUACGGUGGGGCGUGUUGGAUUUCCCGGUUUGGCGGUGAAAGGGGUGGUAUAAGAAGGAACACCAGUGGCGAAGGCGACCACCUGGACUGAUACUGACACUGAGGUGCGAAAGCGUGGGGAGCAAACA
RNAcentral lists this ribosomal RNA (425 nucleotides) under uncultured Pseudomonadaceae bacterium. RNAcentral describes it as "bacterial SSU rRNA". It matches the Rfam family "Bacterial small subunit ribosomal RNA", at positions 356 to 774 of the family's 1533-position model. The record is from RNAcentral. Lineage: Bacteria; Pseudomonadati; Pseudomonadota; Gammaproteobacteria; Pseudomonadales; Pseudomonadaceae.